GCCACAGCCUUAUCACCCUGCAGCCCAAGACCAGUUACUCACUGAAGCUAAGCAGGGCUGAGCCUGGUCAGCACCUGGAUGGGAGACCACAUGGGAAAAGCUAGGUUGCUGAUGGAA
RNAcentral lists this ribosomal RNA (117 nucleotides) under Danio rerio (zebrafish). Lineage: Eukaryota; Metazoa; Chordata; Actinopteri; Cypriniformes; Danionidae. The record is from RNAcentral.